This 250-nucleotide unclassified non-coding RNA is filed under the name uncultured Coniochaeta. RNAcentral's name for it is "sequence contains ITS2". The stretch from base 1 to 52 matches the Rfam family "5.8S ribosomal RNA", at positions 103 to 154 of the family's 154-position model. The record is from RNAcentral. Lineage: Eukaryota; Fungi; Ascomycota; Sordariomycetes; Coniochaetales.
AACGCACAUUGCGCCCGGCAGUACUCUGCCGGGCAUGCCUGUUCGAGCGUCAUUUCAACCCUCAAGCCCUGCUUGGUGUUGGGGCCCCACGGCUGCCGUGGGCCCUGAAAGGAAGUGGCGGGCUCGCUACAACUCCGAGCGUAGUAAUUCAUCAUCUCGCUUAGGGCGUUGGGCGGCGCUCCAGCCGUUAAAGAACCAUCUUUAACUCAAGGUUGACCUCGGAUCAGGUAGGAAUACCCGCUGAACUUAA